UACAGAGGGGGCAAGCGUUGUUCGGAAUUACUGGGCGUAAAGGGCGCGUAGGCGGCCUGCUAAGUCGAACGUGAAAUCCCUGGGCUCAACCCAGGAACUGUGUCCGAUACUGGUUGGCUUGAAUCCGGGAGAGGGACGUGGAAUUCCAGGUGUAGCGGUGAAAUGCGUAGAUAUCUGGAGGAACACCGGUGGCGAAGGCGACGUCCUGGACCGGCAUUGACGCUGAGGCGCGAAAGCCAGGGGAGCAAACGGG
RNAcentral lists this ribosomal RNA (253 nucleotides) under uncultured bacterium. Its description in RNAcentral is "partial 16S ribosomal RNA". It matches the Rfam family "Bacterial small subunit ribosomal RNA", at positions 524 to 776 of the family's 1533-position model. The record is from RNAcentral.